UCAACGUUAUAAAUGAAAGUAUUAUUCAUAGUACAAUAAAUUAAAAUAAAAUCUUCAAUAAAAUCUUACCACUAAAAAAGUUUAACGAAUUAAAUAUUCCUAGCACAACCGACUUAAUGAACGACAUAAUAGUAAUCUCUAUGUAGAAUACCGAACCCGACAUUAAAAUCUUUCACUAUUAACAAAAAAUUAAAAUAUAAAUUAAAACAUUUAAAAGAUAAAAAAGGAAAGCAGAGUAGGAAGCAAAUCAGCAACAUCUUUAUCUUAAUUCCACACGAAAAUCUGGGGUAGAUUCUUCGGAUACGCCAUUAUAAAGCUACCAAACUUAGCACCACCGUCACGUAAUUCCCACUCUUCAAAUAUCUCUCUCUCUUUCUCUGAAACCCUAACAC
Molecule: long non-coding RNA, 392 nt
Filed under: Arachis ipaensis
Lineage: Eukaryota; Viridiplantae; Streptophyta; Magnoliopsida; Fabales; Fabaceae
Description: long non-coding RNA (AIPA_LNC002150)
Source: RNAcentral